AUGGGAGGGGAUUUCGCCCUCGAUCCCGCAUUCAGGGAUGUAAAUCAGGGGAAUAAAGGUCAGUUUAGUCCAUCAGUUUCUCUUGGUAUUAUUUCAGAUUUGAAGAAUACUGGAAACGGACAGCAGGGUAUGAGUAAUUGGGAUGAUAAUUUCGGUGAUUUGGAGGCGGAUUUUGGGGAGGACAAACUGUAUUUCAGGAGAGAGAUCAUAGGGAAUUUUCAGAAACCUACUCGUGUUGCUUCUUGCCCGCUCUCUGUUUCUGCCUGUGUGUUCCAGGAACCUAUGGGGACCAACGAGGGGAAAAUGGAGGUGAACGACAUUGGGGCGGGUCAGGAGACUCGCCUAGACUCGCCGUCUUCUGCUGCAGGUCUCCCUGCUGUGGGUGCCUCCGACCAUGCCUCCCAUGGGGUGACAGUCAUGCCUCCUACUGUCCCUGAUGUUCAGGGAGCGCGGACGGCUCCUGUGUUGGUCCAAGGGAGAGCUGUGGUGGGAGGGCCGUCUGGCUUGGUGCUCUCCGUCACGCCGUUGGUCUCCGUUGGCUUUGCGGCGGUGGCGGUGGAUCCUCCUCUACUUCAGAGGGCCGGCAAGAGCAAGAUGUUCGUGGGUUAA
RNAcentral lists this ribosomal RNA (609 nucleotides) under Triticum aestivum (bread wheat). RNAcentral describes it as "partial small subunit ribosomal RNA". Lineage: Eukaryota; Viridiplantae; Streptophyta; Magnoliopsida; Poales; Poaceae. The record is from RNAcentral.